This 376-nucleotide ribosomal RNA is filed under the name uncultured bacterium. RNAcentral describes it as "bacterial SSU rRNA". It matches the Rfam family "Bacterial small subunit ribosomal RNA", at positions 524 to 898 of the family's 1533-position model. The record is from RNAcentral.
UACGGAGGGUGCGAGCGUUGCUCGGAAUCAUUGGGCGUAAAGCGUACGCAGGCGGCUGUUCAAGUCGGGUGUGAAAGCCCAGGGCUCAACCCUGGAAAUGCGCCCGAGACUGAGCGGCUUGAGUGCGGGAGAGGGAAGCGGAAUUCCUGGUGUAGAGGUGAAAUUCGUAGAUAUCAGGAGGAACACCGGUGGCGAAAGCGGCUUCCUGGCCCGACACUGACGCUCAUGUACGAAAGCGUGGGGAGCAAACAGGAUUAGAUACCCUGGUAGUCCACGCCGUAAACGAUGAGUGCUAGCUGCUGGGAAUGUUUACCGUUUCAGUGGCGAAGCUAACGCAUUAAGCACUCCGCCUGGGAAGUACGGCCGCAAGGCUAAA